RNAcentral lists this transfer RNA (70 nucleotides) under Actinomycetota bacterium. RNAcentral's name for it is "Actinobacteria bacterium (sediment metagenome) tRNA-OTHER". The record is from RNAcentral. Lineage: Bacteria; Bacillati; Actinomycetota.
GCAGGUAGUUGAGCUCGUGGUCCGCGGACUCAUAAUCCGCCGGUCGGAGGUUCGAGUCCUCCCCGCCCCA